Molecule: long non-coding RNA, 5803 nt
Filed under: Populus trichocarpa (black cottonwood)
Lineage: Eukaryota; Viridiplantae; Streptophyta; Magnoliopsida; Malpighiales; Salicaceae
Description: long non-coding RNA (PTRI_LNC003887)
Source: RNAcentral
AAAUGACAAAUCUUUCUUUUCACCAUUGGAAUUAAUGGUGAAGUUUCUAGGUCGAGGCUUCCAAGCUAUGCAGCUUUUCCACCUUCUCAUAUCUUGAUUUUGACCAGCUGUGGAGAUUCCUCUCGACGAUACGAGUUCGGAGAUAUAAAGAUAAUCGAAAUCGGAGUUGAAACGAGCCCUGUAGAGCUCGCCGAAGUUUUGUCGGAAAACUGCCGGAAAAACCAGACCGUGCCGGAAUUCUCGCCUGAGAAGACAGACACGUCAUCCGACACGCAGGCGCUGAGUCAUCAUCCACGUCAUCAACAGAGGGUCCACAUCGCCCUGUCAUCAGACACGUCAUCAGCCAUGUCAUUUGACAGUGACAGAAUAUUCUCUUGACAGAAUAAGAAUAUUCCGUUACCAGUAAGAGAAUAUUCCCGUGACAGAAUAUUCUUUAUCAGAGACAGAAUAUUCCUUCCCUGAGUCAACUCGGUCAGAUUGGUUUUUUGGCCAACUCAGUGAUUUUUUGACCCGUUUUUGGCCGAGUCAAGUUGGUUCCUAGCAUUUUCAACCAUUCCGAACGCAACCGUGGUGUCCGUUUUGUUAAACAGCAUACCGAAGUUACUGUUUUGGCACUUUUGAGCAUAAAAGUGUGUGUUUUAACAAGUUCGGGAUUUCAUUUGUAAUCCAAAGACGUCCUAAUGGCUGAUAUUCCAGAAGAAAAAUCAGCGGGGAAUGCUAGUAUACCUCCACAAUACAUCCCGGUAUCGAAUACCAAAUUUGAGGUGGAGAAGUUUGAUGGGAAAGGUAAUUUUGGCAUGUGGAAAUGUGAAGUCAUGGAUAUGCUUGUCCAAAUGAAUUUGGAUUUCACUUUAGAAGAUAAACCGGAGGAUUUGGAUGAUAAAAGCUGGGAAAGGAUAAAUCGGUUGGCUUGCAGUUCCAUCCGACUUUGUCUUGUAAAGGAUCAGAAGUACGCCUUUUCAGAACAAAACUCUGCAAAGGAAUUAUGGCAAGCACUGGAGGACAAGUUUAUGAAAAAGAGUAUAGAGAAUCGUCUCUACUUGAAGAAAAGGAUCUUCCGUUUUCAGCACAAGAAAGGUACUUCUAUGAAUGAGCAUCUGAAUGAUUUCAAUAAAAUGAUAGCUGAUUUGAAGAAUUUAGAUGUGGAAAUUGAUGAUGAAGAUAAAGCUCUACUGUUAUUAAAUUCACUGCCUGACACAUAUGAACAUCUCGUCACCACUUUACUGUAUGGUAAAGAAAAGAUUAAAUUCAUUGAUGUGUCCCAUGCUUUGGUGAAUAAUGAGUACUGAAAGAAGGACCAGAUUGUUCACAAGGAGUCAACGUCAGAAGCAUUGACAGUUAGAGGCAGAACAAACCCCAGAAGAUUUCGAGGGCGAGGGAGAUCUCGCUCAAAAUCCAGAGGAGAAUCAUCAAACAGACGAUAUCUUGCAAAAGAUGAGUGUGCCUUUUGUCACAAAAAAGGGCACUGGAAGAAAGAUUGUCCAAUCAAGGGCAACAAGGAAAAAGAUGAACCAACUGUGAACGUUGCACGAGAUGAGGAUGAACAAGACUCUGCAUUCAUGGUCUCAUCACCAGAAAACCAUUAUGGUGAAUGGGUUCUUGAUUCUGCAUGUUCCUAUCACAUGUGCCCUAACAAGCACUUAUUCUCGAGACUCGAGGAGUUCGAUGGAGGAGGUGUGUUGAUGGGUAAUGAUGAUGUGAGUGAGAUCAAAGGGAUUGGGACUAUCCAUCUGAAGAUGCAUAAUGGGGUAGUCAAGACACUAACAGAUGUACGGUAUGUACCUGACUUGAAGAAAAAUCUCUUCUCACUUGGAGUUCUAGAAUCCAGUGGUUAUAAGAUUAUCAUGCAUGGUGGAGUCCUAAAAGCAAUCCGUGGUGCAUUAGUUGUCUUAAGAGGCACGAGGAUAGGAAACUUAUAUUUCCUGGAUGGAUCUACAGUUACUGGUACAGCAGCUGUUUCCAAAAGUAUAGAAGAUGAUGAAGCAGAUAAUUCCAGACUUUGGCACAUGCGCUUAGGGCAUGCUGGUGAAAAGGCUUUGCAAGGAUUAGUCAAGCAAGGUCUAUUAAAAGGCGCCAAGACUGGGAAGCAUGGGUUCUGUGAGCAUUGUGUUCUUGGAAAACAGACAAGGGUCAAGUUUGGCACUGCAGUACACAACACAAAAGGGAUCCUAGAUUAUGUUCACACAGACGUAUGGGGACCUUCAAAGAAUGAAUCUCUUGGAGGUAAUCGUUGGUUUGUUACUUUUGUUGAUGAUUUCUCAAGACGAGUAUGGGUGUACAUGAUGAAACACAAGGAUGAGGUCCUUGAUAUCUUUCUGAAAUGGAAGAAAAUGGUGGAGACUCAAACUGGAAGGAGAGUUAAGACUCUUCGGUCAGAUAAUGGUGGUGAGUACACUUCAGAUCCUUUCUUUGAAGUUUGUCAGGAUGAAGGGAUCAAGCGACAUUUUACUGUUCGCAAAACACCACAACAGAAUGGAGUAGCAGAACGCAUGAACCGCACAUUGGUGGAGAAAGUCCGAUGUAUGCUAUCACAUUCGGGACUAAGCAAAGUGUUCUGGGGCGAGGCAUUAAGUUAUGCUCGUCAUAUUGUUAACCGGUUACCUUCAGCAGCAUUAAAUUGAAGAACCCCCUUAGAGGUAUGGUCAGGCUCUCCUGCAAAUGAUUAUGACUCUAUGCGUAUAUUUGGUUGCUCAGCAUAUUAUCAUGUUACUGAGUCCAAGCUAGAUCCUAGAGCAAAGAAAGCUAUAUUUUUGGGCUUUAGUGGAGGAGUAAAAGGCUACAGACUCUGGUGUUCUGAAUCAAAGAAAGUGAUCUUGAGUAGAGAUGUCACUUUUGAUGAGUCUGGCAUGUUACAGCCAGAGAAAUCACAGGAGAAGGAAAAACAGCAAGAGAAAUCACAGAGAAGGGAAAAACAGUCUGGUGAUGCACAACAGGUGGAGUUGGAGACUUCAGUCAUCCCUAUAAAGACUGUCAGACAAUCUCUACUGAAGGAGAUUCAGAUGAAAGUUCAGAUGAAGAGGAUGCAACAACUCCAGCAACCACACAACAAAAAUCCAUUGCAACGAGUAAACCGAAAAGAGUUAUCAAGAAACCUGCUCGGUAUUGUAAUAUGGUGGCUUAUGCACUUCCGGUGAUUGAUGAUGGAAUCCCCUACACCUACAAAGAAGCAGUACAGAGUGUAGAAAGUGCAAAAUGGAAAGAGGCAAUGGAUGAAGAGAUGAAAUCUCUCCACAAGAAUCAGACUUGGGAUUUGGUACAACUCCCUAAAGGAAAGAAGACAAUUGGUUGCAAGUGGGUAUAUGCCAAGAAGGAAGGUAAUCCUGGAAAAGACAACAUCCGAUUCAAAGCGAGAUUGGUAGCAAAAGGCUAUGCUCAGAAGGAGGGGAUAGAUUAUAAUGAGGUAUUCUCUCCAGUUGUUAAGCAUUCAUCAAUCCGUAUUCUGUUAGCCUUGGUUGCACAGUUUGAUUUGGAGUUAGCCCAACUUGAUGUGAAAACUGCCUUCCUACAUGGAGAUUUGGAAGAGGAAAUUUACAUGUCUCAGCCAGAUGGUUUCAAAGUCACUGGGAAAGAGAAUUGGGCUUGUAAACUGAAGAAGUCAUUAUACGGAUUGAAACAAUCUCCUCGCCAGUGGUAUAAGCGAUUUGAUAAGUUCAUGGCAGAACAUGGAUACACACGGAGUCAGUUUGAUCACUGUGUAUAUUUUCGCAAACUUCUUGAUGGUUCUUUCAUCUAUUUGCUCUUAUAUGUGGAUGAUAUGUUGAUCGCAUCAAAGAGCAAGGUGGAGAUUGAUAGACUGAAAGCUCAACUGAGAACUGAGUUUGAAAUGAAAGACCUUGGAGAAGCUAAGAAGAUUCUUGGCAUGGAGAUUCAGAGAGACAGAAGAAAAGGCACAGUCUGUUUGACACAGACCCAAUACUUGAAGAAAAUUCUACAGAGAUUUGGGGUAGAUGGUAAGACCAAGCCUGUAAGCACACCUUUAGCUCCUCAUUUUAAGCUAAGUGCUUCAAUGUCUCCACGCACAGAGGAAGAGCGCAAACAUAUGGCUCAAAUUCUGUAUGCAAAUGCAGUUGGUGCAUUAAUGUAUGCAAUGGUUUGUACGAGACCAGAUAUUUCACAUGCUGUCAGUAUGGUGAGCAGGUAUAUGCAUGAUCCGGGAAAGGGUCACUGGCAGGCAGUUAAGUGGAUUCUACGGUACAUUCAUGGCACAACUGAUAUUGGUUUGAAGUUUGAGAGGGAUGAUAGACUCGGGCAAAAUUUAGUUGGUUAUGUGGACUCGAACUAUGCUGGUGACUUAGACAAGCGUCGUUCAACAACAGGCUAUGUGUUUACACUUGCUAAAGGGCCUGUAAGUUGGAGGUCAACGUUACAAUCAACAGUAGCUUUGUCAACAACUGAGGUAGAGUACAUGGCAGUAACGGAAGCUUUCAAGGAAGCUAUUUGGUUACAUGGGUUGAUUGAAGAUUUGGGAAUUGAUCAAGAGCACGUGGAUGUCCAUUGUGAUAGUCAAAGUGCUUUUUGUCUUGCAAAGAAUCAGGUUCAUCAUUCCCGCACCAAGCACAUCGAUGUUCGAUUUCAUUUUGUUCGAGAAAUUGUGGAUGAAGGGGAUAUUCUGCUACAGAAGAUUGGUACCGCAGAUAAUCCAGCUGACAUGCUCACAAAAUGUGUCUCAGGGAUCAAGUUCCAACAUUGUUUGGACUUGGUCAACAUCUCUCGGUGUUGAGCACCUUCAGGGUGCAGCGCCAUAUGGCGCAUCAGAGGCAGCAUUGAUUGAUCACGAGGAUUGGAUGGAAAAAUCUUGCCAAGGUGGAGAUUUGUGGAGAUUUGUCUAGAUUUUAUUGAUAAUAACAAUACCCCACCACUUUACUUAGUGGAAGCAUCAUUAGUGGUUAGUGCCACAAUUAGUGGCAUGUUUCAAGGCUCUCCUUUCUGCUCUCCUUCCUCCUAUAAAUGGAGACAAUUAGUGCAAGUGAAGUGUGUGCAAGUGUGCAGAAGGAAAUAAUGCAACUGUGAGAGUGAAAGAGUGUAGAUUUGAGAGAAACACCGAGUGUAAGAGUGAAACACUGGGUUUUGUGGGAUUGUACUGGGUUGAGUUGAGUGUUUGUAUCAUUCCUCCAAUAAUAUACAAUCUAUUGCCUUCGUGGACGUACCCGGUUUUGGGGAACCACGUAAAUCUGCUUGUUUGUGUUUUAUUUGUGUUUGCUUUCGGUCCAGUAUGCACAACAAAAAUGACAAAUCUUUCUUUUCACCAUUGGAAUUAAUGGUGAAGUUUCUAGGUCGAGGCUUCCAAGCUAUGCAGCUUUUCCACCUUCAUCGAACACAAGUUACUAAUAUUUUCUUGCUCAAAUGAGUAUUCCACAGUAUUUGCUAUGCAUGUCUCGUGUCAUUCUUCCCUCCUGCAGAAAUUUAAUAACACAAGUUACACAACAGAUCAAAAGGAGAAAUUAUGGCGUAUCAGGUAAAUUAAACUUUAGAUUUAUAAGGAGAGUAUCAUUGAAUGUUGCUGAUGAAAUCCAUAUUUCCUUUAUGUUUCUUUUCAGGGUUAAAGAAAAUGGGAUAUAAAUCACAAAAAAAAUUGAAAGAUUAGGCUAUUUUCCAUUACGAAAACUAAAUUAAACUUUGAGUUUUGUUUAAACUUGAUGUAAAUGCCCAAUAGAAAUAAAGGGUAAACCAAAAAAUAUGAUAUAAUUUUCUAUUUUCUGUCUUUAUCUUUUUUUUUAAAUAUAUCCUGCGUAUUUAUUUCAGAUCCAAGUUUUUGUAUUCUUCACUGUCACAAUAAUAUAUAGAUGGCUAUAUAGACAUAAAA